GAUGAACGCUGGCGGCGUGCCUAAUACAUGCAAGUAGAACGCUGAAGGAAGGAGCUUGCUCUUUCCGGAUGAGUUGCGAACGGGUGAGUAACGCGUAGGUAACCUGCCUGGUAGCGGGGGAUAACUAUUGGAAACGAUAGCUAAUACCGCAUAACAGUAGAUGUUGCAUGAUAUCUACUUAAAAGGUGCAAUUGCACCACUACCAGAUGGACCUGCGUUGUAUUAGCUAGUUGGUGAGGUAACGGCUCACCAGGGCGACGAUACAUAGCCGACCUGAGAGGGUGAUCGGCCACACUGGGACUGAGACACGGCCCAGACUCCUACGGGAGGCAGCAGUAGGGAAUCUUCGGCAAUGGACGGAAGUCUGACCGAGCAACGCCGCGUGAGUGAAGAAGGUUUUCGGAUCGUAAAGCUCUGUUGUAGGAGAAGAACGAGUGUGAGAGUGGAAAGUUCACACUGUGACGGUAUCUUACCAGAAAGGGACGGCUAACUACGUG
This 497-nucleotide ribosomal RNA is filed under the name uncultured bacterium. Its description in RNAcentral is "partial 16S ribosomal RNA". It matches the Rfam family "Bacterial small subunit ribosomal RNA", at positions 28 to 507 of the family's 1533-position model. The record is from RNAcentral.